This 253-nucleotide ribosomal RNA is filed under the name uncultured bacterium. Its description in RNAcentral is "partial 16S ribosomal RNA". It matches the Rfam family "Bacterial small subunit ribosomal RNA", at positions 524 to 776 of the family's 1533-position model. The record is from RNAcentral.
UACGUAGGGCGCAAGCGUUGUCCGGAAUUACUGGGCGUAAAGCGUGCGUAGACGGUUAUUUAAGUCAGGUGUGAAAGCCCCGGGCUCAACCUGGGAAUUGCAUUUGAGACUGAAUAGCUAGGGUGCGGAAGAGGGAAGCGGAAUUUCCGGUGUAGCGGUGAAAUGCGUAGAUAUCGGAAGGAACACCAGUGGCGAAAGCGGCUUCCUGGUCCAGCACCGACGUUCAGGCACGAAAGCGUGGGGAGCAAACAGG